Xiphophorus couchianus (Monterrey platyfish) is the source of this 435-nucleotide long non-coding RNA. RefSeq lists it as uncharacterized. The record is from RefSeq and is a predicted model, not a curated record. NCBI's taxonomy places the organism in Eukaryota, Metazoa, Chordata, Actinopteri, Cyprinodontiformes, Poeciliidae. The transcript has 3 exons.
ACACACAAAUAUAAAGUCACACAAUAUACCAUUAUCAUCAAUUGAGAAAACCGGUAACAAACAUUACAUUUUGAUGAGUGCCAUCAUCAAAAUCAUUAAUACAUAUGAACUAUAAAAGGUUCCUUUUUAUUUCGGCCACUGCUGAAGGCAAAUACUCCUCUGAUGCGAUCAAAUACAAUAACCCAUGAAACAGCGGCUCAUCACGCUUUUAUUUUGAAAACCGACACGCAAAAUGAAGCAGUUACGUGACCCAUGCAAUGCGAGGCCUUGUUUGUUGCCAGUCACGUGGUUUUCAACAAGACGACACAAGCAUCGAAGCGGGGCUUCAUCGGACACACCCCCUUAUUACUUGGUACAAGCCUCGAAGCCUGGAUUCAGAUAGCCCAUCACUAGCAUCAAUGAGAGAAACUAUGGAAGCCCAUUUCCACCACUCUG